GUCAGGGUAGCUCAGCUGGAAGAGCAGAGGACUGAAAAUC
Molecule: transfer RNA, 40 nt
Filed under: Bignonia aequinoctialis
Lineage: Eukaryota; Viridiplantae; Streptophyta; Magnoliopsida; Lamiales; Bignoniaceae
Description: partial tRNA-Phe
Source: RNAcentral